GUGGGGAAUAUUGCACAAUGGAGGGAACUCUGAUGCAGCGACGCCGCGUGAGCGAUGAAGGCCUUCGGGUCGUAAAGCUCUGUCCUAUGGGACGAUAAUGACGGUACCAUAGGAGGAAGCCCCGGCUAACUACGUGCCAGCAGCCGCGGUAAUACGUAGGGGGCGAGCGUUGUCCGGAAUUACUGGGCGUAAAGGGUACGCAGGCGGCCAUGUAAGUCAGAUGUGAAAGGUCACGGCUCAACCGUGGUAAGCAUUUGAAACUGUGUGGCUUGAGUUAAGGAGAGGAAAGUGGAAUUCCUGGUGUAGCGGUGAAAUGCGUAGAUAUCAGGAGGAAUACCAGUGGCGAAGGCGACUUUCUGGACUUAAACUGACGCUGAGGUACGAAAGCGUGGGGAGCAAACAGG
This 404-nucleotide ribosomal RNA is filed under the name bacterium. RNAcentral's name for it is "bacterial SSU rRNA". It matches the Rfam family "Bacterial small subunit ribosomal RNA", at positions 354 to 776 of the family's 1533-position model. The record is from RNAcentral.